GGGUCAAGAUGAAGGCGGGUUCUGGACAGACGUACCCAGUCAGGGAAUGUUUACUUUGCCUCCACUUCUGUUCCUCCCCGCCCUGGUGCUGCUCCGGGUCACAUACUCGUCCUGAGCCGGCUUCAGCCUCUCCGCGCAGAAGUCUCCCGGAGCCGACUUCUGAGAGUCGAGUACUCCUAUGUGAAGACUACCAAGCUCGUGUUCAAGGGAACCAAGGCGAAGAGUAAGAAGAAAAAGAACAAAGAUAAGAAAAGAAAAAGAGAAGAAGAUGAAGAAACCCAGCUUGAUAUGUUGGAAUCUGGUGGACAGUAACAAACUUUGGUGAAAUUUCAGGAACCAUAGCCAUUGAAAUGGAUGAGGGAACCUAUAUACAUGCACUCGAUAAUGGUCUUUUUACCCUGGGAGCUCCACACAAAGAAGUUGAUGAGGGCCCUAGUCCUCCAGAGCAGUUUUCGGCUGUCAAAUUAUCUGAUUCCAGAAUCACCCUGAAAUCUGGCUAUGGAAAAUAUCUUGGUAUAAAUUCAGAUGAACUUGUUGUUGGGCGUUCAGAUGCAAUUGGACCAAGAGAACAAUGGGAACCAGUCUUUAAAAUUGGGAAAAUGGCUUUGUCGACCUCAAAUAGCUGCUUUAUUAGAUACAGUGAAGCAGAGGACAUAGAAGCAAAAAGUAAAACAGCAGGAGAAGAAGAAAUGAUCAAGAUUAGAUCCUGUGCUGAAAGAGAAACCAAGAAAAAAGAUGACAUUCCAGAAGAAGACAAAGGAAAUAUAAAACAAUGUGAAAUCAAUUACGUAAAGAAAUUUCAGAGCUUCCAAGACCACAAACUUAAAAUAAGUAAAGAAGAGAGUAAAAUUCUUAAAAAGGCUCAGAAAGAUGGAUUUUUGCAUGAAACGCUUCUGGACAGAUAAGUGAUGGCCUAGAUUUACAACAUAGAAAAACAGAGAACCAAAUUGAAAGCCGACAGAUACUGCAGAUGACUGGGAUUUUUGUUUCUGUCUUACCUUUUUGUGUUUUUUUUCUGAAUAAAAUAUUCAGAGGAAAUGCUUUUACA
This 1048-nucleotide long non-coding RNA is filed under the name Homo sapiens (human). Its description in RNAcentral is "novel transcript". Lineage: Eukaryota; Metazoa; Chordata; Mammalia; Primates; Hominidae. The record is from RNAcentral.